Molecule: ribosomal RNA, 292 nt
Filed under: uncultured soil bacterium
Lineage: Bacteria
Description: partial 16S ribosomal RNA
Rfam family: Bacterial small subunit ribosomal RNA
Source: RNAcentral
UGAGAACUUUCCAGAGAUGGAUUGGUGCCUUCGGGAACUCAGACACAGGUGCUGCAUGGCUGUCGUCAGCUCGUGUCGUGAGAUGUUGGGUUAAGUUCCGUAACGAGCGCAACCCUUGUCCUUAGUUACCAGGACAUUAUGGUGGGCACUCUAAGGAGACUGCCGGUGACAAAACGGAGGAAGGUGGGGAUGACGUCAAGUCAUUAUGGCCCUUACGGCCGGGCUACACACCUGCUACAAUGGUCGGUACAAAGGGUUGCCAAGCCGCGAGGUGGAGCUAAUCCCAUAAAAC